Molecule: long non-coding RNA, 1264 nt
Filed under: Homo sapiens (human)
Lineage: Eukaryota; Metazoa; Chordata; Mammalia; Primates; Hominidae
Description: HSALNT0017420
Source: RNAcentral
GGAGAGGAUGCCAAUAGGCACCCCAGAGGUGACAGGACAGUCUGAACCCCCACCCUGGCAGAAGGGAGCUUGACAGCUCUGGGGCUCUCUGGGAAUGUCACUGCUAAAAUGGAUAUUUAUAUAUAUAUUAACCAUUCAUGGGAGGGCAGGGGCAGGGCCUGGGGUGGGAUCGGAGGAUCUGGCAUCGCAUCCUGUAGCUGGUCAUGCCUACCUGAGAGGCCUGGAGGAAACCAAAGUGGUUUAAAACAUUUAAGUGUGCUUCUUCAGAAAAAGUUUUGUCUCCCCACGCCACUUUUUAUUUAAACUAAAAAUAAUUUCUUGUUAGUGACUGCUUUGCAUUUAGACAGAGUGAUUGAUAACAAUUUAUAGGGGAUUUUGUUGGGGUGAAAAGCACACUGACAUGCCACCGCUGUUUAUUGGAGUGCGAUUUCACGUGCAAAUGCAAAAACAUUAAAAAUGUUAUUGCUCCUUAUGUGCAUAUGCGGCAGCGCUCCUCGAGGGGGCACCAGCUGCGGGAAGUCUGUUCCUUGCAGACCCCUGACCACGCGAUGAAUGAAUAAAGUACACUGACACACAGAUAUUCUGCUCUGCCAGUCCAGCUGAGGGUCCAAGCCCCUUACAGGCUCCCUGCUGAGCCCUGUAAACAGUUGCGACUCGGCAGGGAGCCUGUAAGCACCUGGGACCCUCAGAAUAUCUGUGUGUCAGCGUACUUUAUUCACCGGUCAUUGGGUCAGGGGUCUGCAAGGGACAGACUCCCCACAGCUGGUGACCCCUCGAGAGGAGCCCUGCCCCCAGCUGGUGCCCCAUGUGAGGCGCUGUGUGAGGAACUGUGUGAGGAAUGCUGUGAAGGAAACGCGACGAACCGCCCGAAAACGAAGGGCAAAGCGGCUGAGAUCUUUGAACUCCCUUUGAACUUUGAGAAUGGUGACUGGAAGAUGACAAUUCAUGUUGUUUUCAGGAAAGCUAUGACCGAGAAACCAAGGAACUCACUAUCUUGUCCUCUUGGAUGCCAGCUAUAAAUUGAAUCAAGUUGGACACCGGAAUUUUGACCACUUUCCACCUUUCUAUCGUGGUCAGGUUUCUUCAUGAGAAGAGGAGAUUCGGUCACAGGCAUGUACAGAAGAAGACUGUGUGAAGACACAGAAGAAGUUAUCUACAAACCAACGAGAGAGGCUUCAGAAGAAACCAACAUUGUUGACACCCUGAUCUUGGAUUUCUAGACUCAGGAAUUAUGAGAAAAUAAAUUUUUAUUGUUUAAGCCACC